This 254-nucleotide ribosomal RNA is filed under the name uncultured bacterium. RNAcentral describes it as "partial 16S ribosomal RNA". It matches the Rfam family "Bacterial small subunit ribosomal RNA", at positions 524 to 776 of the family's 1533-position model. The record is from RNAcentral.
UACGUAGGCAGCGAGCGUUGUUCGGAGUUACUGGGCGUAAAGGGUGUGUAGGCGGUUGUUUAAGUUUGGUGUGAAAUCUCCCGGCUCAACUGGGAGGGUGCGCCGAAUACUGAAUGACUUGGAGUGCGGGAGAGGUGAGUGGAAUUCCUGGUGUAGCGGUGAAAUGCGUAGAUAUCAGGAGGAACACCGGUGGCGAAGGCGGGUCUCUGGGCAGUAACUGACGCUGAGACGCGAAAGCGUGGGUAGCAAACAGG